GACGAACGCUGGCGGCGUGCUUAACACAUGCAAGUCGAGCGGUAAGGCCCUUUCGGGGGUACACGAGCGGCGAACGGGUGAGUAACACGUGGGUGACCUGCCCUCAGCUCUGGGAUAAGCCUGGGAAACUGGGUCUAAUACUGGAUAUGACUCCACGGUGCAUGUCGUGGGGUGGAAAGCCUUGUGCGGCUGAGGAUGGGGCCCGCGGCCUAUCAGCUUGUUGGUGGGGUGANGGCCUACCAAGGCGACGACGGGUAGCCGGCCUGAGAGGGCGACCGGCCACACUGGGACUGAGACACGGCCCAGACUCCUACGGGAGGCAGCAGUGGGGAAUCUUGCGCAAUGGGCGAGAGCCUGACGCAGCGACGCCGCGUGAGGGAUGACGGCCU
This 389-nucleotide ribosomal RNA is filed under the name uncultured bacterium. RNAcentral's name for it is "bacterial SSU rRNA". It matches the Rfam family "Bacterial small subunit ribosomal RNA", at positions 28 to 417 of the family's 1533-position model. The record is from RNAcentral.